CAACCUUGUGGCAACACACAUCCUAGAAAAUACCAAACGAUCAUUUAGAAUUUUUUAACACUGCUUGUCAGAGGGCUUGCGCCCGCCAUUUGCGUUUUUUCGUUCUCUUAUUUCUGAUCUUUCGGCCGAAGCACAUACUAAUCAAAGCACAUUCUAAUCAAAUUUUGCAAAGAAGUGCUAAGUCUACGUGUGUAUAUAUUCAAGUAUAUGCACCGCAUCGGGCUUAAUAGCCGCCCAACCAGACAACAACGGCUGGCGUAAUUUCGCUGGAACCGAUCGCAAACUCCAACUGUAGUUGAAAAACUUAUUAGGGGUGCGCAGCGAUAUUUGAUGAAACCGCCUGCUAUUCGGUUUGGCCCACUCCGGUUGCCAACACGUGGAGCCGGACUACUCGAGCCGAGCCACAUACAGUUUAUCAGUGGUAAUUUAAGUUUCGAGCCAAGCUUUCCAACCGUUGUAAGACGUAAGGAAAACUUAAGGUACUCAUCCAUACACGUGUUGUUCGCCAUGUUCUUCUGUCCAGUUGCCAGUUGAGUAGCCUAACGCCGGACUAAUGGUUAAAUAUCUCCACGUCCAAAACGAGUGUGUCCCGGAUAAGCAGGCACCCCGGACUCUUGUUCUAGCUGUUAAAUAUGCCGCCACACAGCUAAGGAUUCACCCUCGAUCUCGGCAGUCGAUCUGACUGUUGCGUCGCUUUUGUAGUUUUUUAGAAAAGAUUUUAAAUUUAGAUUGACUGUUAACUAAUAACAUUUUAAAGUUUACUCAGCAUACACAUACCGUCCACAGGCCUGUCCACUGCUGAUUUAAAGAUUUAAAGUAUUCAUAUUGAAAGUACGGCAUAACCGACGGUAUGUUAACAUCAAUCUGAGCCAAGUAAUUUAAUUAUAUAAUAACAAUAGAUUCAAGUUUCGACACCCGUACUAUUUUGUUAAAGAUUACCUUAAUUUUUUUUUAAACUUAAAUGUUAACGUAAAUUUUUGAACGAAGAACAUAAAUGAAGUCAUUUGUACCCAUUAUAUGGUUAGUUUGCCAUGGGCAAGCUAACGUUAGGAAAAUCAUAAGCAGCCGCCAUGGGCAACUUGUAUUUAAUUGAAUUUUGGUACGUGUUUGUGAAUGAAGUAUAAAGUGGAGUACAUUUUUGCGAAUUAGGACACCUGAAGUAACUGUGCACCAUUAAUAAAGGCAUUGGCCACAUAUGCAAAGCGAGCCUAUGCAAGGUUGGGUGGGUUUUGAAACGGAAUUAAAUGACAUUUGCAAUUUCUCUCACUUAGUAUAAAAUUAGAUUCUUUGAGUUUUGGUUUAGUUAGUCAAUAGUUCCCUACUCUGUCUACUAUUUAAGUUUAUGUGAAGCCGCGGUUCUCUAGGUAGCAAAACCCCAUUCCCAUUUUCCCUGAGCACAGCCGACCGUGUAGGUAGAGUACGCUGCCAGAUAGCCGCACACGUUGCCGUGUUCGUUACAGUUUCAAGGGACA
Drosophila biarmipes is the source of this 1472-nucleotide long non-coding RNA. RefSeq lists it as uncharacterized. NCBI's taxonomy places the organism in Eukaryota, Metazoa, Arthropoda, Insecta, Diptera, Drosophilidae. The transcript is spliced from 3 exons. The record is from RefSeq and is a predicted model, not a curated record.